AAACUCUCUUAAAAAUGUUUACAUUAACAUUUCUUUCCUUUAUUUUACCUUAUUACAGAUGAUUUAGUCAAGCGCAAUAAGAAAUUGAAAGAAGAAUAUGAUGCACUCAAGGCUAAAUAUGAUAAUUUAGUCAAGCGUGAUGGCAAUAAGAAAUGGAAAGAAGAAUAUGAUGCACUCAGGGCUGAAUUUGGUAAG
Molecule: long non-coding RNA, 195 nt
Organism: Polypterus senegalus (gray bichir)
Lineage: Eukaryota; Metazoa; Chordata; Cladistia; Polypteriformes; Polypteridae
Exons: 4
Source: RefSeq, a predicted model, not a curated record